Malurus melanocephalus (red-backed fairy wren) is the source of this 1199-nucleotide non-coding RNA. The record is from the annotation of a RefSeq genome assembly. Lineage: Eukaryota; Metazoa; Chordata; Aves; Passeriformes; Maluridae.
UCACCAGGGGCAGGUUGCUGGAGGGACGUGCCCUUUCCCUAUGGAUUUCCAUCAGUUCCUGGUGGCCAUCCUGGUUCCUGUGGGCUGGGCCAUACAGCAAUCACCAGAUACAGUUGUCCGGGUGGGAGAUCCCGUGACCCUGGAAUGUUCUCAAUCUGGGAAUGCAUUUCGGUCCAUGUAYUGGUACAAAUUACCCAUGGAGRAGGRUGCYRGUAUGCAGUUGAUUAUAUAUGCAGCUGAAGGCAGCAAAGGAGAUAUUGAGAAGGAAUUCAAAAACCGCUUCCAGAGCAAUGGGACUAAGAAYAACCAUUUAUCUGUGAAGAUAGRUCAUGCCCUCCUCAAUGACUCUGGCACAUAUUUCUGUGCUGGACAAGAUCCACAUGUGAACAAUGAGAAAAUGUUCUUUGGCAGUGGGACAAAACUUACGGUCAUAGGGAAGGAUGACGAGAUCAUCCCUCCAGCUGUGGCCAUCUUCUCCCCAUCCAAGCAGGAGCUCCAGGAGAAGAGCAAGGCCACACUGGUGUGCCUGGCCUCUGGUUUCUACCCUGACCACCUGACCCUGGGCUGGAUGGUGAACGGUGUGAAAAGGAGCGAGGGGGUGGGGACAGACGAGUCCUCCACACGCAAUGGCAGCACCUACUCCCUGACCAGCCGACUGCGGAUCCCAGCCUGGGAAUGGUUCAACCCUCUCAAUCACUUCGAGUGUGUCGCCAAUUUUUUCCAGAAUGGAACAACGCAAUCAAUGCACAAAUUUAUUUCUGGUGAUGCUGGUUGUGCACUCACAGAAGAGUCGUACUUGCACUAUGGAAACUCUYUGAAGCUCACUUACCUCAUCCUCUGUGGCAAAGCCUUGGUCUAUGCAGUGUUGGUGAGCGGGCUGGUGUGGACAGCCAAGACUGGUGGCAAGUUAUCUAGAGAAUAAAUGAAGAGGCCUCUUCAUCACAUCAGCAGGAAAACAACAAGUUUUCUACCUUUCCUUUUCAAAGUAUCUAUUAACUUCUAURAACUUCUGAAUAUUAUUUUGAUGGUUUUGUGUCCUUAUCAUGUUCGUCACUUUGUUGUAAUCACAGCUGAGCUUUCCCUGUACUUCCAUAUCAUAUUGUAUCAUAUUUUGUUGUAACGUAUUUUUAAAAAAGCAUCUUUCUAAUGCUCGAAGGCUGGGAAAAAAAUCUUGUUUUAAGAAUAAAGUUUUAGCUUCU